RNAcentral lists this ribosomal RNA (253 nucleotides) under uncultured bacterium. Its description in RNAcentral is "partial 16S ribosomal RNA". It matches the Rfam family "Bacterial small subunit ribosomal RNA", at positions 524 to 776 of the family's 1533-position model. The record is from RNAcentral.
GACGAACCGUGCGAACGUUAUUCGGAAUUACUGGGCUUAAAGCGCGUGUAGGCGGAUCGUUAAGUGUCUUGUGAAAUCCCACGGCUCACCCGUGGAACGGCUGGGCAUACUGGCGAUCUUGGGCCAACUAGGGGCAACUGGAACAAGCGGUGGAGCGGUGAAAUGCGUAGAUAUCGCUUGGAACGCCAAAGGUGAAAACAGGUUGCUGGGGUUGUGCCGACGCUGAGACACGAAAGCCAGGGGAGCAAACGGG